This is a long non-coding RNA of Girardinichthys multiradiatus, 778 nucleotides long. RefSeq lists it as uncharacterized. Lineage: Eukaryota; Metazoa; Chordata; Actinopteri; Cyprinodontiformes; Goodeidae. The transcript is spliced from 2 exons. The record is from RefSeq and is a predicted model, not a curated record.
UAUUAGUUGGUUUUGUUUCAUUGCCCUUUGCUGGUUCCUCUCGUUGCACAACUCGGAUCUCUACCCUCGACUUUGCCAUGUUCUUGCAGAACCUGCAGACACCUCCUGAACACCUUCUAUGACUCUGUGGUGGCAUCAGUCAUUCUGUAUGGUGUGGUCAGCUGGAGCAGCAGCAUACAGACAGGGAAAGGAAGAAGCUCAUCAGGAUGUGCAGCUUUGUCCUGGGCUGUCCUCCGGACAACAGGAGGUGGGUGAAAGAAGGGUCCUCGCAGGAAAAGUCAUCCAUGCUGGACCACUAGUCACACCCCCUGCAGGACGACCUGCCAGCUCUGGAGAGCAGCUUCAGGGACAGACUGCUCCACCCACGGUAUAUGAAGGAGAGAUUUCGCAGGUCUUUUCUUCCUGCUGCUGUCAGACUGUACAAUGGACAAUUCUGAGCCUGUGUAAUGUAUACAAAUGUAUGUGCAAUUUACUAUUUUUUUGAAAUGGUGUGUGUAUAGCCACAUUUUAUAUAGUUGUGUAUUAUUCUAGUGUAGUUUUUUAAUUCUUUUGAAAACGUAUUCUGGUUUGUCCUAUGCUUCUGUUGGAUGCUGUUCUCACUUUACUGCUGUUGCAACAAAGCAAUAUCCCCACUGCGGAACAAAUUAAGGUUUUCCGAAGCCAGGUAAGAAACUAACUGUAAACGUAUGAGAUGGCUAAAGGGGCGAAAUGAACAACCUCUUUUUUUCAUCAAGUGGAACCAAAUAGACAUAAAAAUGUUUUGGUACUAAUUUUCAAA